GCUCGUAUCGUAUAACGGUAGUAUAAGUGAUUGCAAAUCACUUGGUCACAGUUCGAUUCUGUGUACGAGCUCCA
This 74-nucleotide transfer RNA is filed under the name Vibrio phage 6E35.1a. Its description in RNAcentral is "tRNA-Cys". It matches the Rfam family "tRNA". Rfam says of the family: Transfer RNA (tRNA) molecules are approximately 80 nucleotides in length. Their secondary structure includes four short double-helical elements and three loops (D, anti-codon, and T loops). RNAcentral also lists the same sequence under 15 other names. The record is from RNAcentral. Lineage: Duplodnaviria; Heunggongvirae; Uroviricota; Caudoviricetes; Pantevenvirales; Straboviridae.